GAUGAACGCUGGCGGCGUGCUUAAUACAUGCAAGUCGAACGGAAAGGCCCCCUUGUUGCGUACUUGACUGGCGAACGGGAGGGUAACACGACAGUAACCUACCCUUCACUUUGGGCUAACUUCAGUAAACUGGGGCUAAUAUCGUAUCGGAUCUUCUGCUGCACGGCGGGGGUUGGUAAUUUUGGGCGGUUGGGGUUUGACUUGAGGCUAAUCAGCUUGCUCGUGGGGUAGUGGUUCACCAAGCGGUUGACGGGUAGCCGGCAUGAGAGGGUGACCGGCGACAAUGGGACUGAGAUACGGCCCAGAAUGGUAUGGGAGGCAGCAGUGGGAAGUAUUGCGCAAUGGGCGGAAGUCUGAUGUAGAAGCGCCGGGUGCGGAAUGACGGCUUUCGGGUUGUAAACAGCUUUGGAAGGAGACGAAGAGUGAGUGACGGUAAUGGGUAAAGAAGCACCGGCUAACUACGUG
RNAcentral lists this ribosomal RNA (465 nucleotides) under uncultured bacterium. RNAcentral's name for it is "partial 16S ribosomal RNA". It matches the Rfam family "Bacterial small subunit ribosomal RNA", at positions 28 to 507 of the family's 1533-position model. The record is from RNAcentral.